This 780-nucleotide long non-coding RNA is filed under the name Bos taurus (domestic cattle). RNAcentral's name for it is "long non-coding RNA NONBTAT018071". Lineage: Eukaryota; Metazoa; Chordata; Mammalia; Artiodactyla; Bovidae. The record is from RNAcentral.
ACCACAACUAAUAAAGACUACAAAAUACUGUAGGACAGCCCAUUUUUCUACUAUGUAAAUUCAGCUUCCUGAGCAGAACAUUUCUGCUUUUCUUGUAGUAUUUCAGAAAAUGUUAAUCUUGGUUCCCACAUUAGGCUGAAUGCUUCCAAAUUAAAAGUUUCCCACAGGAAAAGAAUUUCACAGGGAAUUGUGAGGCUGGGAAUUAUCUUCUGAAGCUCCACCUCACUUGGUUUCCAUGCAUUUCGGUUUUUCAACACUACCCCCCAUAUGAAUAAAGCAAUAAACACACACUGAUUUUAAUAAAUUCAAACCAGAAAGAAGCUGCCGUGGUAUACACUUCAAAACUGUUAAUAAUUCAUAGCACUGUUCAUCUUCAUCAGAAACUAUGAAAUCAGUAACCAUUGCAAUGGGAAACCAUGCUUUAUUUACACAAGAAUUUGCAAACACCCUUAUCUUCCAGUUUAUAGUCUGGGCUCAUUUAUCAAAGCUCAAAAGCUGAACUGAGUGCCUAGCCUCUUCAAUCAUCACUUGAAAGAGUGGACAAGGGCACACAAACAGCAUUGGAAGACUUCUGUUGCUGCCAUAACAGAAGGUGGUCUUUCCUGUCUUCUAGCAUACAAUCCGUACCUUUACCAGAUUUCACUGAGUGGACCCUGAGAAAGCAUCUACUUGUGAUUAAAAUAUGGCAAACGUAUUCUAAAUACAUGAGUUUACAAAAAGCACCCUUCAGAGUAACAGGCAAAAACAAAUGAGUUAAACCAGUUGUCCCCAAACAUUGUA